GAACUACUUGUCGACUGAAGAGGCACCUAACACCAUGCAUAUACAUAUAAGUAGGAGUUGAGGGCACUAGGAAACAUGGUAUGAGUCACAUAAGGAAAAGAUGUCCCACACUGUUGUGGGGUGCUACAACAAUGGCAACACCAUCAUGGUAAGGUGGUCGUGUGCUCGACACCGCAGGCUGACUCGUCGCCGAUGGUUCAUUUGAACGGCAAUGAAAGUGUGUGGGAGUACCAAUGGCAUGGUUACUCCAUCACAGUUGGUCUUUUGUUGAGACAGAAGGUGCGGCACAAGAGCAUUCCUCAUCCUAAUUGGUGGCGAUCCGAAUUUCUUGUGAGCUAAUUCGAUAGUAUAGAGUUGGCCUGUGACAUUCAGGCUGUGGCAUGUUCAGUUCGCAUGUGCUGCUGUAAAUUUGUGGAAUUUGUAAUUCAGUAGAACUCUUGGCUAACCUAUGUUCACAUAUAUUAAAUUAAUAAACCAAACCGGAAUUAUUUCGUUGAUAAAUAUUGGAUUCACGUAUCAAGUCUUUACAAAUGUAACGAUUGAAGACCAUUAGAGAUGACGGGGUCCAUUUGAGGUGUCGACUACUGUUGGAAAUGAGCUAAGAGAAUUAUACUUCCACUUGGGCCCUGGACAAUUGGCAUGUUCCUUGAUGUUGGACCCAAGAUGGCAACCCAUUUAGAGUCCAUCAGGUUGAUCAUUAGGCAAAUUGACAGCAUAUAUAUGUACCCCUUAACCUGCCCCAUAAUGAUGUUAAGGAUGCACUUAUACCAGGAACCUUAUGCCUAUAAAUAAACCCCAUGGUUAUGGAAGAAAUGAGAGGAAAUAUUACCAGAAAAUCGAGAAAUUAUUGAAAGUCUCUAGUUCUAGUGCAUUGGAGUUCCAUUUCCACACCUCCUUGCACUAAAUGAAAAACUAUUGUCCUUUGAGGGCAACACACCUCCUCUUAAUAAGCUAAGUUUAUACAAGAACUUUACAUUACUGUACACUAUACACAUAACAUAUGUAUAUGCAUGUAUAUGAGUACGUAUAGGAAUAGGAGGCAUCAAGAAGAAAUAUUGUACGAGUAGCUCGAUCCGAGGAACGAGGUCCUACACUGGUAUGAUUGCUGCUAGGUACUCUCCAAACAACUUAAUUUACUAAUUAAGUCGACGUCAUGCUCCAACUUAACGUUGAUAUCUCAGCGAUGGUAAAAAUUUCUUCUUUUUUUUUUCGGGAACACGGUAAAAUUUUCAGCCUGCAUGCUGUCCACUGUACAUAUGAGAGAUUGCACAACGCUAUGUAAAAAAGCACAUCCAUGCUUUGUGGUGAUGUAUUGAUCCGAGCAUGCAUUCAAUUCGUUUUCCUUGCCUAGACUAGAUUGUAGCCUUGAGAAGAUGCGAAGUGGUUCAAGAUAGUGUAGUUGGUUCAAGAUAGUGUAGUGUGGAGGAAUUAAUAAUAUAUUGAACCCAAGCGAA
Oryza sativa Japonica Group (Japanese rice) is the source of this 1454-nucleotide non-coding RNA. Lineage: Eukaryota; Viridiplantae; Streptophyta; Magnoliopsida; Poales; Poaceae. The record is from RefSeq and is a predicted model, not a curated record.